Salvelinus namaycush (lake trout) is the source of this 631-nucleotide long non-coding RNA. RefSeq lists it as uncharacterized. The record is from RefSeq and is a predicted model, not a curated record. The transcript has 2 exons. Lineage: Eukaryota; Metazoa; Chordata; Actinopteri; Salmoniformes; Salmonidae.
UCAUGGCGGAAGGCAGUGACAGCGCCAGCGCCGGGAGAUUUUUCAGGCUUCUUAGAGAACCAAAUCUGAAGUGUGGUCGUAUUUUUGGUUUUACAAGAGUGCUGAGGGAAACUUAAUCGAAGAUGGUCACCCUGUCUGCAGAACAUGCGAAAAUAAUCGCUGCGAAAGGGGGCAACACUUCAAAUCUCUUGAGUCAUCUUCGUGAUCACCACCCAUUACUUUAUAGCGAAUACAAGAGUGGGCGAGCAGCAGGCAAACCCUGUGAUGCUACUGGUCCCUCCUCAUCUACAGUUGUGACAGACACUCGAGCAAGCAUUUAAAAAGCAUCCAAAAAAUGCUCAAGACCUCAUUGCAAAGGACAUGAUGCCAUUUCAAUUUGUUCUGAGGCUGAUGAAGUUUGGCGUGCCUCACUACAAAGUGAGUGCUGCUAAUUUUAUUUGUUGUUUGUUUAUUUGAUUUUCCUACUUAAGGUUGUGUUCAUUUAAAUCUGCACUAGGGAAACUGUUACCUCUCAUGGCCACAUGGUGGCAUCUUUAAUGUUAACGUUAUUAUUUUAAUGUUUAUGCACACACAAAUUUCAUAGUGCUGCUAAUUUUAUUUGUUGUUUAUUUGUUUUCAAUAUAAAACUUGG